RNAcentral lists this ribosomal RNA (253 nucleotides) under uncultured bacterium. RNAcentral describes it as "partial 16S ribosomal RNA". It matches the Rfam family "Bacterial small subunit ribosomal RNA", at positions 524 to 776 of the family's 1533-position model. The record is from RNAcentral.
UACAGAGGGGGCAAGCGUUGUUCGGAAUUACUGGGCGUAAAGGGCGCGUAGGCGGCCUGCUAAGUCGAACGUGAAAUCCCCGGGCUCAACCCGGGAACUGCGUCCGAUACUGACAGGCUUGAACCCGGGAGAGGGAUGUGGAAUUCCAGGUGUAGCGGUGAAAUGCGUAGAUAUCUGGAGGAACACCGGUGGCGAAGGCGGCAUCCUGGACCAGUCCUGACGCUGAGGCGCGAAAGCUAGGGGAGCAAACAGG